UAGUCCACGCCGUAAACGAUGUCAACUAGCCGUUGGCCCCAUCUAGGGGUUAGUGGCGCAGCUAACGCGAUAAGUUGACCGCCUGGGGAGUACGCCGGCAACGGUAAAACUCUAAGGAAUUGACGGGGGCCCGCACAAGCGGUGGAGCAUGUGGUUUAAUUCGAUGAUACGCGAGGAACCUUACCAGGGCUUAAAUGUAAGUUGCAUUAGCUAGAGAUAGUUAUUUCUUCGGACUACUUACAAGGUGCUGCAUGGUUGUCGUCAGCUCGUGCCGUGAGGUGUCAGGUUAAGUCCUAUAACGAGCGCAACCCCUAUUGUUAGUUGCCAGCAAGUAAUGUUGGGGACUCUAGCAAGACUGCCGGCGUAAGCCGCGAGGAAGGUGGGGACGACGUCAAAUCAUCAUGGCCUUUAUGCCUAGGGCGACACACGUGCUACAAUGGUGCAUACAGAGGGUUGCGAAGCCGCGAGGUGGAGCUAAUCUCAGAAAGUGCAUCUCAGUUCGGAUUGG
RNAcentral lists this ribosomal RNA (508 nucleotides) under uncultured bacterium. RNAcentral describes it as "bacterial SSU rRNA". It matches the Rfam family "Bacterial small subunit ribosomal RNA", at positions 791 to 1301 of the family's 1533-position model. The record is from RNAcentral.